GGGAAUGUUCUCCUGUACCAACUGAGCUUCAUCCCAACUGCAAAUGCGCUUGGCACAGCAAAGCCUGUGACUGACCUUGGAUUCUCUGCCUCAGCACGCCCAGGAAAUUGUGGAUGACAGAGCUAUGGGGGUGUCAAAAGACAAUGGGGUGAAGAAAAGUAGCAGGAAGCGAAAGUAUGAGUUGGAAAAGGGGCAGGACGAGCCAAAGGCGCUCCCGGUGAAGAAGAAGAAGGAGCUGGAAUGUAGAGUGAAGCCUUCCACGGGAAAAGGGAAGAAGAAGAAACCACCAAAAGUCACGGAAAAGCCACUGCAGGAGAACAUCAU
Parus major (Great Tit) is the source of this 324-nucleotide long non-coding RNA. RefSeq lists it as uncharacterized. Lineage: Eukaryota; Metazoa; Chordata; Aves; Passeriformes; Paridae. The record is from RefSeq and is a predicted model, not a curated record. The transcript has 4 exons.